RNAcentral lists this ribosomal RNA (422 nucleotides) under Fusobacteriota bacterium. Its description in RNAcentral is "Fusobacteria bacterium partial 16S ribosomal RNA". It matches the Rfam family "Bacterial small subunit ribosomal RNA", at positions 355 to 776 of the family's 1533-position model. Lineage: Bacteria; Fusobacteriati; Fusobacteriota. The record is from RNAcentral.
UGGGGGAUUUUGCACAAUGGGCGCAAGCCUGAUGCAGCGACGCCGCGUGAGGGAUGAAGGCCUUCGGGUUGUAAACCUCUUUCGCUGGGUUGAAAGGCCAUGCUUUGGGUGUGGUUGAUUUGAACUGGUAAAGAAGUACCGGCUAACUACGUGCCAGCAGCCGCGGUAAUACGUAGGGUACUAGCGUUGUCCGGAUUUAUUGGGCGUAAAGGGCUUGUAGGUGGUUUGUCGCGUCUGUCGUGAAAUCCUGUGGCUUAACCAUGGGCUUGCGGUGGGUACGGGCAGGCUUGAGUGCGGUAGGGGAGACUGGAAUUCCUGGUGUAGCGGGGGAAUGCGCAGAUAUCAGGAGGAACACCGGUGGCGAAGGCGGGUCUCUGGGCCGUUACUGACACUGAGGAGCGAAAGCGUGGGGAGCGAACAGG